Molecule: ribosomal RNA, 253 nt
Filed under: uncultured bacterium
Lineage: Bacteria
Description: partial 16S ribosomal RNA
Rfam family: Bacterial small subunit ribosomal RNA
Source: RNAcentral
UACGUAGGGUGCGAGCGUUGUCCGGAAUUACUGGGCGUAAAGAGCUCGUAGGUGGUUUGUCGCGUUGUUCGUGAAAACUCACAGCUCAACUGUGGGCGUGCGGGCGAUACGGGCAGACUGGAGUACUGCAGGGGAGACUGGAAUUCCUGGUGUAGCGGUGGAAUACGCAGAUAUCAGGAGGAACACCGGUGGCGAAGGCGGGUCUCUGGGCAGUAACUGACGCUGAGGAGCGAAAGCGUGGGGAGCGAACAGG